UGCGUAGGUGGUUGUGUAAGUUAUCUGUGAAAUCCCCGGGCUUAACCUGGGUUGGUCAGAUGAUACUGCAUGACUUGAGUAUAGGAGAGGAUAGUGGAAUUUCCGGUGUAGCGGUGAAAUGCGUAGAUAUCGGAAGGAACACCAGUGGCGAAGGCGGCUAUCUGGCCUAAUACUGACACUGAGGCACGAAAGCGUGGGGAGCAAACA
This 207-nucleotide ribosomal RNA is filed under the name uncultured bacterium. RNAcentral describes it as "partial 16S ribosomal RNA". It matches the Rfam family "Bacterial small subunit ribosomal RNA", at positions 568 to 774 of the family's 1533-position model. The record is from RNAcentral.